UACGUAGGGAGCAAGCGUUGUCCGGAUUUACUGGGUGUAAAGGGUGCGUAGGCGGGGACGCAAGUCAGGCGUGAAAUCCACCGGCUUAACUGGUGGGCUGCGCUUGAAACUGCGUUUCUUGAGUGAAGUAGAGGCAGGCGGAAUUCCCGGUGUAGCGGUGAAAUGCGUAGAGAUCGGGAGGAACACCAGUGGCGAAGGCGGCCUGCUGGGCUUUUACUGACGCUGAGGCACGAAAGCGAGGGUAGCAAACAGG
RNAcentral lists this ribosomal RNA (253 nucleotides) under uncultured prokaryote. RNAcentral describes it as "partial 16S ribosomal RNA". It matches the Rfam family "Bacterial small subunit ribosomal RNA", at positions 524 to 776 of the family's 1533-position model. The record is from RNAcentral.